UACGUAGGGUGCAAGCGUUAUCCGGAAUUAUUGGGCGUAAAGAGCUCGUAGGCGGUUUGUCGCGUCUGCUGUGAAAACUGGAGGCUCAACCUCCAGCCUGCAGUGGGUACGGGCAGACUAGAGUGCGGUAGGGGAGAUUGGAAUCCUGGUGUAGCGGUGGAAUGCGCAGAUAUCAGGAGGAACACCGAUGGCGGAAGGCAGAUCUCUGGGCCGUAACUGACGCUGAGGAGCGAAAGCAUGGGGGAGCGAACAGG
RNAcentral lists this ribosomal RNA (254 nucleotides) under uncultured bacterium. RNAcentral describes it as "partial 16S ribosomal RNA". It matches the Rfam family "Bacterial small subunit ribosomal RNA", at positions 524 to 776 of the family's 1533-position model. The record is from RNAcentral.